AUCCCUGCUCCUGCCAACUUCUCCCAGAGGGGCUACUAUCUCACACUGAGGGCCAACCGGGUGCUGUACCAGGCCAGAGGCCAGCUCCAUGUCCUCCGUGUUGGCAAUGAUACCCACUGCCAACCAACAAAAAUUGGCUGCAACCAUCCCCUACCAGGACCGAGCCCCUACAGGGUGAAGUUCCUGGUGAUGAAUGACAAAGGACCCGUGGCUGAAACAAAGUGGUCCAGCAACACUCGCCUGCAGCAAGCCCAGGCACUUCGGGCUGUCCCUGGCCCCCAGAGCCCGGGCACCGUGGUCAUCAUCGCCAUCCUGUCUGACAGCCACAGUGUGGAAGACCCUGUGCCCCUUCUGGGGUGAGGAGUACCAAGUGCACCUGCCGCCCACCUUCCACGCUGUGGCUUUCUACGUCAUGGAUGAGGAUGCCCUCAGCCGGGACGACGUUAUCGGAAAGGUCUGCCUUACAAGGGACACCAUAGCUUCUCACCCUAAGGAGGUUUCAGCGGGUGGGCCCACCUGACGGAGGUUGACCCUGAUGAGGAGGUGCAGGGCGAGAUCCACCUGCGGCUGGAAGUGCGCCCAGGGGCCCGGGCCUGCCAGCUACGCUGCUCUGUGCUGGAGGCCAGAUCAUGAAGAAGUCAUGCUACCCACGCUGGAAUGAGACGUUUGAAUUUGAGCUGCAGGAGGGGGCCGUGGAGGCGCUGUGCGUGGAGGCCUGGGACUGGGACCUUGUCAGCCGAAACGACUUCCUGGGCAAAGUGGUGAUCGAUGUCCAGAGACUGCGGGUGGCGCAGCAGGAGGAGGGCUGGUUCCGGCUGCAGCCCGACCAGUCCAAGAGCCGGCAGCAUGACGAGGGCAACCUGGGCUCCUUGCAGCUGGAGGUGCGGCUGCGGGACGAGGGCCCAGGGCAGCUGAUCCCACUCAUCGAGGAGACAACCAGCACCGAGUGUCGCCAGGACG
RNAcentral lists this long non-coding RNA (960 nucleotides) under Homo sapiens (human). RNAcentral describes it as "non-protein coding lnc-URGCP-2:6". The record is from RNAcentral. Lineage: Eukaryota; Metazoa; Chordata; Mammalia; Primates; Hominidae.